This 821-nucleotide ribosomal RNA is filed under the name uncultured bacterium. Its description in RNAcentral is "bacterial SSU rRNA". It matches the Rfam family "Bacterial small subunit ribosomal RNA", at positions 61 to 895 of the family's 1533-position model. The record is from RNAcentral.
GUCGAACGAGCGAGAGAGAGCUUACUUUCUCAAGCGAGUGGCGAACGGGUGAGUAACGCGUGAGGAACCUGCCUCAAAGAGGGGGACAACAGUUGGAAACGACUGCUAAUACCGCAUAAGCCCACGACCCGGCAUCGGGUAGAGGGAAAAGGAGCAAUCCGCUUUGAGAUGGCCUCGCGUCCGAUUAGCUAGUUGGUGAGGUAACGGCCCACCAAGGCGACGAUCGGUAGCCGGACUGAGAGGUUGAACGGCCACAUUGGGACUGAGACACGGCCCAGACUCCUACGGGAGGCAGCAGUGGGGAAUAUUGCACAAUGGGGGAAACCCUGAUGCAGCGACGCCGCGUGGAGGAAGAAGGUCUUCGGAUUGUAAACUCCUGUUGUUGAGGAAGAUAAUGACGGUACUCAACAAGGAAGUGACGGCUAACUACGUGCCAGCAGCCGCGGUAAAACGUAGGUCACAAGCGUUGUCCGGAAUUACUGGGUGUAAAGGGAGCGCAGGCGGGAAGACAAGUUGGAAGUGAAAUCCAUGGGCUCAACCCAUGAACUGCUUUCAAAACUGUUUUUCUUGAGUAGUGCAGAGGUAGGCGGAAUUCCCGGUGUAGCGGUGGAAUGCGUAGAUAUCGGGAGGAACACCAGUGGCGAAGGCGGCCUACUGGGCACCAACUGACGCUGAGGCUCGAAAGUGUGGGUAGCAAACAGGAUUAGAUACCCUGGUAGUCCACACUGUAAACGAUGAUUACUAGGUGUUGGAGGAUUGACCCCUUCAGUGCCGCAGUUAACACAAUAAGUAAUCCACCUGGGGAGUACGACCGCAAGGUU